UACAGAGGUAGCAAGCGUUGUCCGGAUUCACUGGGCGUAAAGGGCGUGUAGGUGGCUAUACAAGUCAGGUGUGAAAGCGUUCCGCUUAACGGAACAAUUGCACUUGAUACUAUAUGGCUUGAGUGCAGGAAGGGAGCAUGGAAUUUCCGGUGUAGCGGUGAAAUGCGUAGAUAUCGGAAAGAACACCAGUGGCGAAGGCGAUGCUCUGGCCUGCAACUGACACUGAGGCGCGAAAGCCAGGGGAG
RNAcentral lists this ribosomal RNA (245 nucleotides) under uncultured bacterium. RNAcentral's name for it is "partial 16S ribosomal RNA". It matches the Rfam family "Bacterial small subunit ribosomal RNA", at positions 524 to 768 of the family's 1533-position model. The record is from RNAcentral.